This 181-nucleotide long non-coding RNA is filed under the name Polistes fuscatus (common paper wasp). Its description in RNAcentral is "uncharacterized LOC122523047". Lineage: Eukaryota; Metazoa; Arthropoda; Insecta; Hymenoptera; Vespidae. The record is from RNAcentral.
UUACUGUUAGUGUUGUUGCCGGUGCAGCUGCUUCUGGUGCUGCUGGGUUGGUGGAUGGGUGGGUUGGUUUUGCGAUAGCGAAUUGGUGUCGGCAAUCAGGAAAAACUGCUCUCGAGUUAAUGAGACGAAAUACUAACUCAGGUACUCGAAAAAAGAACUAGAUAAGAAAAGAUGAGAAAAA